Pelobates cultripes (western spadefoot toad) is the source of this 345-nucleotide non-coding RNA. The record is from the annotation of a GenBank genome assembly. Lineage: Eukaryota; Metazoa; Chordata; Amphibia; Anura; Pelobatidae.
UAAAUGUUGAGGUUUCCAUAAUAGUGUCGAAAGAUCUUGUGUUCCACAAUACAUAUUUUCUAUUGCCACCCAUUGAGGGAUAUAACUAAUUGAGUGGGCGCUGAUAACAUUCAUAAGUAUUGCAGCAUGAUAAUAUGCUUUUAUAUUUGGUAUCCCCAUACCUCCCUUUUCCACACUUCUCAUCAAUAAUGCUUUAGGGACUCGCGGAUGUUUACCGCCCCAACUAAAACGCACCAUGGUUGCUUGAAUACACGAUAUAUAUUUUUGUGGGAGUAUCAUAUGCAAGGAUCUAAAUAGAUAUAGAAUCUUAGGCAGAAUUACCAUUUUAAGCCCUGCUAUUUUCCC